This is a long non-coding RNA of Zeugodacus cucurbitae (melon fly), 928 nucleotides long. RefSeq lists it as uncharacterized. NCBI's taxonomy places the organism in Eukaryota, Metazoa, Arthropoda, Insecta, Diptera, Tephritidae. The transcript has 3 exons. The record is from RefSeq and is a predicted model, not a curated record.
ACUAACAUUGUACAAUAAGUAAUACAAUAUAAAACUUGUGAAUUUAAUAAAUUUCAAUAUCAAUUGGACAUGAAUACACAUUCAAUUCAUUCAUGCGUAGUUAUUCGUUAGUAAACGUGACGUAUAGUGUGCAAGUUUCGACAUGUUUGAAUUGUUGGUGAUGAACGAUUGCUGCAUAGAAUUGUUUGAAUAAUUUAUACUUGUGCCCGUAAAUGAUUGUUUUUAAUAAAAUUAAUAUAUAUGCUUUAAAAUUCGAAAUUAAACAAAUACUAACAUCGUGCAAUAAGUAAUAAAAAAUCAUAUUAUUAUAUGCAAAACGAAUAUGCCACCACUAAUCGCUGUUCGGUAGUGAUGGUGAAGUGCAUCGUACAAGCUGCCACUGCGGAAUAUAAAUGUGAGAAAAACUAAAAUAAUAAAUUAUUUAAAUACUAUAAUAAUCCGCCGAUUUAUCUGGUUCCUAAAGAUAUAAGGCGUUUUAUAAAAAAUACAUAAAUUAAAAAUAUAUAAAUAUGAAAAGUAAAAGAAUAAAACAAGUGAGUGAGAUGUCGCCAACCGCCAUUUGCAAUGUGCCGUGCUCGGAAUAAUUUUCAUUAACUUUGGUUAUUAGCAUAAAAUCAUUACAAAGUAAUCUAAAAGUGUUGCUAAUUAUAUGUUUAACAAAUUUCAACAAAAAUUAUUUAAUAAUAAUAUGUAAAUUAGUGAAGUGAAAUGUAUUAAAAUUAAUUGCAAGUAAGAACUGAUCAAAGCGCUGCUGAGAAAAUAUUACCAACACCUGCUCGUAUAUCACCUUUCUGGCUCCAGCGACGAUUUACUGAUAUUUAAUUGUGCGACGUAAGCGUUAACAAUUGAAUAUCAUUCGGUAUGUACUUUAACAGCUCCGAAAAAGUGUUAUGGUGAGUACCAAAAAAUUCAAUAAAAUGGAAGUAGC